RNAcentral lists this ribosomal RNA (373 nucleotides) under uncultured Glomus. RNAcentral describes it as "SSU rRNA". It matches the Rfam family "Eukaryotic small subunit ribosomal RNA", at positions 601 to 979 of the family's 1831-position model. The record is from RNAcentral. Lineage: Eukaryota; Fungi; Glomeromycota; Glomeromycetes; Glomerales; Glomeraceae.
AUAUUAAAGUUGUUGCAGUUAAAAAGCUCGUAGUUGAAUUUCGGGAUCAAUAUAUCGGUCGUGCCCCUGUACGUACUGGUAUCAUUGGUUUCUCCUUUCUGACGAACAAUGAUGUCAUUAAUUUGGUGUUAUAGGGAGUUAGGACUGUUACUUUGAAAAAAUUAGAGUGUUUAAAGCAGGCAUUAGCUUGAAUACAUUAGCAUGGAAUAAUGAAAUAGGACGUUUGAUUCUAUUUUGUUGGUUUCUAGGAUCGACGUAAUGAUUAAUAGGGAUAGUUGGGGGCAUUAGUAUUCAAUUGUCAGAGGUGAAAUUCUUGGAUUUAUUGAAGACUAACUACUGCGAAAGCAUUUGCCAAGGAUGUUUUCAUUAAUCA